UGGGGAAUAUUGGACAAUGGGCGCAAGCCUGAUCCAGCCAUGCCGCGUGUGUGAAGAAGGCCUUCGGGUUGUAAAGCACUUUCAGUAGGGAGGAAGCGUUGUGUGUUAAUAGUACACAGCGUUGACGUUACCUACAGAAGAAGCACCGGCUAACUCUGUGCCAGCAGCCGCGGUAAUACAGAGGGUGCAAGCGUUAAUCGGAAUUACUGGGCGUAAAGCGCACGUAGGCGGUUUUUUAAGUCAGAUGUGAAAGCCCCGGGCUCAACCUGGGAAUUGCAUUUGAAACUGGAAAACUAGAGUGUGUGAGAGGGGGGUAGAAUUCCAAGUGUAGCGGUGAAAUGCGUAGAGAUUUGGAGGAAUACCAGUGGCGAAGGCGGCCCCCUGGCACAACACUGACGCUCAGGUGCGAAAGCGUGGGGAGCAAACAGGAUUAGAUACCCUGGUAGUCCACGCCGUAAACGAUGUCUACUAGCUGUUCGUGACCUUGUGUCGUGAGUAGCGCAGCUAACGCAUUGAGUAGACCGCCUGGGGAGUACGGUCGCAAGAUUA
RNAcentral lists this ribosomal RNA (549 nucleotides) under uncultured bacterium. RNAcentral's name for it is "bacterial SSU rRNA". It matches the Rfam family "Bacterial small subunit ribosomal RNA", at positions 355 to 896 of the family's 1533-position model. The record is from RNAcentral.